This 376-nucleotide unclassified non-coding RNA is filed under the name uncultured Actinomycetes bacterium. RNAcentral's name for it is "uncultured actinobacterium contains 16S-23S intergenic spacer region". Lineage: Bacteria; Bacillati; Actinomycetota; Actinomycetes. The record is from RNAcentral.
UCCGGUUUGUCACCGGCAGUCUUGCAUGAGUCCCCGGCCGAACCGCUGGCAACAUGCAACGGGGGUUGCGCUCGUUGCGGGACUUAACCCAACAUCUCACGACACGAGCUGACGACAACCAUGCACCACCUGUACACCGCCCUUGCGGACCCCGUAUCUCUACGAGUUUUCGGUGUAUGUCAAGCCUUGGUAAGGUUCUUCGCGUUGCGUCGAAUUAAGCCACAUGCUCCGCUGCUUGUGCGGGCCCCCGUCAAUUCCUUUGAGUUUUAGCCUUGCGGCCGUACUCCCCAGGCGGGGCACUUAAUGCGUUAGCUACGGCACGGAUCCCGUUGGAUAGGACCCACACCUAGUGCCCAACGCUUACAGCUAGGACUAC